CACUUGAUAACUUGUCCCCAGCAUGGUAACAAGCCGAGCGAACACAUCCAGAUAUCCCCUUGACAAGAGGGAUGCAAGGCUACCGGCUGUGUAGUUCAAUCACCUGGCAUUCGCUAGUGUAAAAUACUAGGUACCAAAAUAGUGAGUGCGUUCAUGAUGGUUCAAUCUAUUUGAAUUAUCUCCAUCCAUACAGAAAAGUUUAGUUUAAUAAUUUAUCUCAUUGUAUUUUUGAGAUAUUACAGGCUGGCAUACAGCUAAUUCAAUUAUACUAUAAAGUUAUUUUCUUUUCAAACCCAAAAAUGCAAAACUGUGACCUUUGAGCACAAAAAUCACCAUGCAGUGCCCUUGCCUCUUUGGCAUAUGCAACUUUUUUGCUUCCAUACUGUUUUUGUUUUGCUUAGAGAUUGAGGUUUUGCACUUUUGAGUUUGAAAUGACUAUAGAAAACAUAUAUAGCUUACGUUUUGGAAACACAAACAGUGCUCAAUACCAUAAAGAUGGACUAGAUAUAUAUGAAAAUAUAUUUAUUUAAUGAUAAACAGUAUUUCAAGUUCAAACGAUAUGUGUAGAUCAUUCAUUAACAACAGGCAGUAUACAGCUGUACAGUAUAACUGUUAACAUUACUGCUUACACUCCAAAGACUACACAGUACACAAUAAAUAAGUAUGUAAUUUUUAUCAAAAAUAUAUUGAAAUGUUAGUAGCAAUUUACUGCUACAGUUCUCUUACAAUAAAUAUUAUGUGACAGGACACAAACACAUUGACACAGGACAAUGUCAAUGUCAUUGCAAGCAAUAAAGCAGGAUUAAUUAAUGUAUGAUUGUAUGUCUAGUGUCAACUCAUUUUACACUAAUGGGCUAAAGUUAUUUAUAAUAAUUUACUUAACAUUAUGUGUACCAUAUGAAAUGUUUAAUGUGUGCUACAAGCAAUUCACACAAUGUUCAUUGGACAAUGUGUCAUCGCAAGCCAUAAAAAGCACUAUUGAAUGUGCCUAACUGUGCGUUCUACUACGCUAAUAUAUUUAAAAUACUAAUAUAGGUGAGUUUCA
Paramuricea clavata is the source of this 1045-nucleotide non-coding RNA. The record is from the annotation of a GenBank genome assembly. Lineage: Eukaryota; Metazoa; Cnidaria; Anthozoa; Malacalcyonacea; Plexauridae.